UUUUAAUGUAGGUAAAAUGCUUAGAAAAGAGCCUGGCACACAAUGACCACAACUGAAACAUUUGCUCUCAUAUUCAUGUCUGUAUUCUUUAAGCUGUGAGCUCUUCGAGGUAUGGAGACAUAUCUAAUUGUUCCUCAUUCCUUCAGUUUCUAGCAUGGGACCUGAUUCUGAGAUGAAUUAGCUGUUCAGAUGAAUAAGACUCGGUAUUUUUCCUUUUUCAUGAAAUUCAUUCCACUAAGCACCAUACAGGAAUAGUUCUGAGUAGUUUAGGAUCAUGCCAGAGAAGCUCAGGGUUUAAGCACUUUUCUCGUUCCAGGUAUUAGAGGGGAAGUUUUUGUUAUUGUUGUUUUUUGUUUCAGUUUGACCACACUCAGAGCCUAAAUCCCAUCCAAAGGAAGAAAUGGCAAUAAAAAAGUAGAUGGAAAAAGAGAUCCAUGGAAGAAAUUUCUCUCUGAUCUUGAUACGAAUAGAACAGGAGGAUAGCAGUGAUUCCCAGGGGCUGAAAACACAGGCCUCAGGUAAAUUGGAUCCUGGACAAGUUAUUUAACUAUUCUCAGACUCAAUUUUGUCUUCUUAA
Molecule: long non-coding RNA, 577 nt
Filed under: Vulpes vulpes (red fox)
Lineage: Eukaryota; Metazoa; Chordata; Mammalia; Carnivora; Canidae
Description: lncRNA (ENSVVUG00000016886.1)
Source: RNAcentral